UGGGGAAUUUUGGACAAUGGGCGAAAGCCUGAUCCAGCAAUGCCGCGUGUGUGAAGAAGGCCUUCGGGUUGUAAAGCACUUUUGUCCGGAAAGAAAUCCUUGGCUCUAAUACAGUCGGGGGAUGACGGUACCGGAAGAAUAAGCACCGGCUAACUACGUGCCAGCAGCCGCGGUAAUACGUAGGGUGCAAGCGUUAAUCGGAAUUACUGGGCGUAAAGCGUGCGCAGGCGGUUUGCUAAGACCGAUGUGAAAUCCCCGGGCUCAACCUGGGAACUGCAUUGGUGACUGGCAGGCUAGAGUAUGGCAGAGGGGGGUAGAAUUCCACGUGUAGCAGUGAAAUGCGCAGAGAUGUGGAGGAAUACCGAUGGCGAAGGCAGCCCCCUGGGCCAAUACUGACGCUCAUGCACGAAAGCGUGGGGAGCAAACAGGAUUAGAUACCCUGGUAGUCCACGCCCUAAACGAUGUCAACUAGUUGUUGGGGAUUCAUUUCCUUAGUAACGUAGCUAACGCGUGAAGUUGACCGCCUGGGGAGUACGGUCGCAAGAUUAAAACUCAAAUGAAUUGACGGGAUCAUAGCUGUUUCCU
RNAcentral lists this ribosomal RNA (585 nucleotides) under uncultured bacterium. Its description in RNAcentral is "partial 16S ribosomal RNA". It matches the Rfam family "Bacterial small subunit ribosomal RNA", at positions 355 to 940 of the family's 1533-position model. The record is from RNAcentral.